GCACCAGACUCCUACGGGAGGCAGCAGUGGGGGAUAUUGCACAAUGGGGGGAACCCUGAUGCAGCGACGCCGCGUGGGUGAAGAAGUAUUUCGGUAUGUAAAGCCCUAUCGGCAGGGAAGAAAUUGGACGGUACCUGACUAAGAAGCCCCGGCUAACUACGUGCCAGCAGCCGCGGUAAUACGUAGGGGGCAAGCGUUAUCCGGAUUCACUGGGUGUAAAGGGAGCGUAGACGGCAAUGCAAGCCAGGAGUGAAAGCCCGGGGCCCAACCCCGGGACUGCUCUUGGAACUGCAUGGCUGGAGUACAGGAGGGGCAGGCGGAAUUCCUAGUGUAGCGGUGAAAUGCGUAGAUAUUAGGAGGAACACCGGUGGCGAAGGCGGCCUGCUGGACUGUGACUGACGUUGAGGCCCGAAGGCGUGGGGAGCAAACAGGAUUAGAUACCCCUGUA
Molecule: ribosomal RNA, 448 nt
Filed under: uncultured bacterium
Lineage: Bacteria
Description: bacterial SSU rRNA
Rfam family: Bacterial small subunit ribosomal RNA
Source: RNAcentral